AGGAAAAGAAACCAACAGGGAUUGCCUCAGUAACGGCGAGUGAAGCGGCAAAAGCUCAAAUUUGAAACCCUCGGGAUUGUAAUUUGAAGAUUUGGCAUUGGAGAAAGCUAACCCAAGUUACUUGGAAUAGUACGUCAUAGAGGGUGACAACCCCGUCUGGCUAACCGUUCUCCAUGUAUUGCCUUAUCAAAGAGUCGAGUUGUUUGGGAAUGCAGCUCAAAGUGGGUGGUAAACUCCAUCUAAAGCUAAAUACUGGUGAGAGACCGAUAGCGAACAAGUACUGUGAAGGAAAGGUGAAAAGAACUUUGAAAAGAGAGUGAAAUAGUAUGUGAAAUUGUUGAUAGGGAAGGAAAUGAGUGGAGAGUGGUUUAGGUUUCAGCCUUCUUUCGAGGGGGUGCACUACCAACGCCGAGUCAUUGAUAGCGAGACAGGGGUUAUAAACGGACGGCACUUGUGCUAUUCUCCUAACCCCUCUACUGCCACCAACGACAUAAUCCACCCAUUUCACCCGUCU
RNAcentral lists this ribosomal RNA (514 nucleotides) under Yarrowia deformans. RNAcentral's name for it is "partial large subunit ribosomal RNA". It matches the Rfam family "Eukaryotic large subunit ribosomal RNA", at positions 54 to 654 of the family's 3401-position model. Lineage: Eukaryota; Fungi; Ascomycota; Dipodascomycetes; Dipodascales. The record is from RNAcentral.